Molecule: ribosomal RNA, 492 nt
Filed under: uncultured bacterium
Lineage: Bacteria
Description: partial 16S ribosomal RNA
Rfam family: Bacterial small subunit ribosomal RNA
Source: RNAcentral
AGUGAACGCUGGCGGUAGGCCUAACACAUGCAAGUCGAACGGCAGCACAGUAAGAGCUUGCUCUUACGGGUGGCGAGUGGCGGACGGGUGAGGCAUACAUCGGCAUCUACUUUUUCGUGGGGGAUUACGUAGGGAAACUUACGCUAAUACAGCAUACGAUCUACGGGUGAAAGCAGGGGAUCUUCGGACCUUGCGCGAUUGAAUGAGCCGAUGUCGGAUUAGCUAGUUGGCGGGGUAAAGGCACACCAAGGCGACGAUCCGUAGCUGGUCUGAGAGGGUGAUCAGCCACACUGGAACUGAGACACGGUCCAGACUCCUACGGGAGGCAGCAGUAGGGAAUAUUGGGCAAUGGGCGAAAGCCUGAUCCAGCCAUGCCGCGUGAGUGAAGAAGGCCUUCGGAUUGUAAAGCCCUGUUGUUAGGGAAGAAAAGCAGCGGGAUAAUACCCCGCUGUUCUGACGGUACCCAAAGAGAAAGCACCGGCUAACUUCGUG